RNAcentral lists this ribosomal RNA (790 nucleotides) under Alcaligenes sp. B1. RNAcentral describes it as "bacterial SSU rRNA". It matches the Rfam family "Bacterial small subunit ribosomal RNA", at positions 715 to 1489 of the family's 1533-position model. The record is from RNAcentral. Lineage: Bacteria; Pseudomonadati; Pseudomonadota; Betaproteobacteria; Burkholderiales; Alcaligenaceae.
GGGCAGACCACCUGUGUAUCUAAUACUGACGCUCUGACACGAAAGCGUGGGGAGCAAACAGGAUUAGAUACCCUGGUAGUCGCACGCCCUAAACGAUGUCAACUAGCUGUUGGGGCCGAUAGGCCUUAGUAGCGCAGCUAACGCGUGAAGUUGACCGCAGCUGGGGAGUACGGUCGCAAGAUUAAAACUCAAAGGAAUUGACGGGGACCCGCACAAGCGGUGGAUGAUGUGGAUUAAUUCGAGUGCAACGCGAAAAACCUUACCUACCCUUGACAUGUCUGGAAAGCACGAAGAGAUUUGGCCGUGCUCGCAAGAGAACCGGAACACAGGUGCUGCAUUUCGGGCUGUCGUCAGCUCGUGUCGUGAUCGAUGUUGGGUUAAGUCCCGCAACGAGCGCAACCCUUGUCAUUAGUUGCUACGCAAGAGCACUCGUAAUGAGACUGCCGGUGACAAACCGGAGGAAGGUGGGGAUGACGUCAGCAGUCCUCAUGGAGUGCCCUUAUGGGUAGGGCUUCACACGUCAUACAAUGGUCGCGGACAGAGGGUCGCCAACCCGCGAGGGGGAGCCAAUCUCAGAAACCCGAUCGUAGUCCGGAUCGCAGUCUGCAACUCGACUGCGUGAAGUCGGAAUCGCUAGUAAUCGCGGAUCAGAAUGUCGCGGUGAAUACGUUCCCGGGUCUUGCUACACACCGCCCGUCACACCAUGGGAGUGGGUUUCACCAGAAGUAGGUAGCCUAACCGUAAGGAGGGCGCUUACCACGGUGGGAUUCAUGACUGGGGUGAGCGCCCU